CGCCCCGGGACGAAGCUCUCGGCAGCUAGUCCCGCCUCAGGACCGCGCCGCCGGCUCCACCCGACCGCGCUCCCCCUCACGCUCCGGGCAACCCCGCCCCCGUCCGGCGCGCACACGACCCCGGGGGCACGGCGGUGCCGGUAGCGCCGCCCGGCGGAGGGACACGGCGCCACCGGUAGCGCCGCCAUGCGUUAUUCCGGUGCGUGAGCUACGAGCAGCCCCGCUGCCGACCACCAACUUCCCAGUGCGGGGGGCGCGAGACUCUCUAACAAGUCAACCCCAGCGCAGGGCGGCUUCCUGCUGUACGAGGGCUCCCGUCGCGCCGCUGCUCUCCGCCUUUCGGCCGGCCCUCCUCCGCCCGGCGCCCCCAGUGGAGUUACCUCGCCCGUCACCAUAGCCCGGCGGGUCGCUGUUGGCGGCCAUAACAGUUUCCAUCCGGGGACUGCGGAGCUGCGAGCCUAGAGCUGGGGGCGGCCGUCGCGGAGGGAUACGCGUUCACCUGAAGUGAUUAGUCAAAUUGCAAAUAUGUGCUGCUACUGUUUUGGAGGAACUGAAAACCAACUGCAGCUGAAGAAAAGAAUGAGAAAAAGUAGCAUCAUGCACUGCCCUAUUUCAAGGACCAAAUGCUGCAUGAGAACUAGAAUGUUGUUGUAUUCUUUUUCUUGAAGACAAAAGAUCACACAUAAUGCAUGAAGCUACAUAUGUGCCACUGGCAAAUUUAGAAGUUAUUAAAAACAAGGACUGAAUCCACAGAAGCCUGUUUCACUCUUUCAUUCUUUUUUAGAAGAUGGAAAAGUAGACAAAAU
Molecule: long non-coding RNA, 806 nt
Filed under: Gallus gallus (chicken)
Lineage: Eukaryota; Metazoa; Chordata; Aves; Galliformes; Phasianidae
Description: long non-coding RNA NONGGAT008191
Source: RNAcentral